Molecule: ribosomal RNA, 253 nt
Filed under: uncultured bacterium
Lineage: Bacteria
Description: partial 16S ribosomal RNA
Rfam family: Bacterial small subunit ribosomal RNA
Source: RNAcentral
UACGUAGGGGGCAAGCGUUGUCCGGAUUUAUUGGGCGUAAAGAGCUCGUAGGCGGUUUGUUGCGUCGGCUGUGAAAACCCGGGGCUCAACCCCGGGCCUGCAGCCGAUACGGGCAGACUAGAGUUCGGCAGGGGAGACUGGAAUUCCUGGUGUAGCGGUGAAAUGCGCAGAUAUCAGGAGGAACACCGGUGGCGAAGGCGGGUCUCUGGGCCGAUACUGACGCUGAGGAGCGAAAGCGUGGGGAGCGAACAGG